UACGUAGGGCGCGAGCGUUGUCCGGAAUUAUUGGGCGUAAAGAGCGUGUAGGCGGCCAUUCAGGUCAGCUGUGAAAACUCGAGGCUCAACCUCGAGACGUCGGUUGAAACCAUCUGGCUAGAGUCCGGAAGAGGAGAGUGGAAUUCCUGGUGUAGCGGUGAAAUGCGCAGAUAUCAGGAAGAACACCCGUGGCGAAGGCGGCUCUCUGGGACGGUACUGACGCUGAGACGCGAAAGCGUGGGGAGCGAACAGG
RNAcentral lists this ribosomal RNA (253 nucleotides) under uncultured bacterium. Its description in RNAcentral is "partial 16S ribosomal RNA". It matches the Rfam family "Bacterial small subunit ribosomal RNA", at positions 524 to 776 of the family's 1533-position model. The record is from RNAcentral.